This 465-nucleotide ribosomal RNA is filed under the name uncultured bacterium. RNAcentral describes it as "partial 16S ribosomal RNA". It matches the Rfam family "Bacterial small subunit ribosomal RNA", at positions 28 to 507 of the family's 1533-position model. The record is from RNAcentral.
GACGAACGCUGGCGGCGUGCUUAACACAUGCAAGUCGAACGGAAAGGCCCCUUCGGGGGUCCUCGAGUGGCGAACGGGUGAGUAACACGUGAGUAACCUGCCCUUGACUUCGGGAUAACUUCAGGAAACUGGGGCUAAUACCGGAUAGGAAUCCUUGCUGCAUGGUGGGGGUUGGAAAGCUUCGGCGGUUUUGGAUGGACUCGCGGCUUAUCAGCUUGUUGGUGGGGUAGUGGCUUACCAAGGCUUUGACGGGUAGCCGGCCUGAGAGGGCGACCGGCCACAUUGGGACUGAGAUACGGCCCAGACGCCUACGGGAGGCAGCAGUGGGGAAUAUUGCACAAGGGGCGGAAGCCUGAUGCAGCAACGCCGCGGGCGGGAUGACGGCCUUCGGGUUGUAAACCGCUUUCAGCAGGGGCGAAGCUUGUGGUGACGGUACCUGCAGAAGAAGCACCGGCUAACUACGUG